This 4121-nucleotide long non-coding RNA is filed under the name Oreochromis niloticus (Nile tilapia). RNAcentral's name for it is "lncRNA (ENSONIG00000031546.1)". Lineage: Eukaryota; Metazoa; Chordata; Actinopteri; Cichliformes; Cichlidae. The record is from RNAcentral.
AUGACCUUCAUGUGUUUGGGUUCAGUGAGAGUCCACUCCACUGUGACGUCCUCAGGAAGGUCAGGUGUGGUCUUAAAGGGCAGCAGGGCAGACUCCUCUCCUUCGAUCACUACCAACACCUCCACCCACUCUGGAGGAGGAACUGAGAGAAAAAGCGAAACACAGUCCAAUCCUACUUUAUUUAUAAAGCACUUUAAAAUACCCAGCACAGGACCAAAGUGCUGAACAUAAAAUAAGUUAAAAACAAUAGAAUAACAGAAAACAGCAAAAGUAAAUAAAACACACAAUACAUAAAAAUUAAAACAGCGCUAUAUUAAAAAAAGAAAACAAGAUAAAACCACAUAGAAUCAAUUGAAACAACUAAAAUGAAACUAAAAAAUAAAAACCAACAUGUCACGUAGUGUCAAAGGCCAGGGUGAAGAGGUGGGUUUUCAGGAGUGACUUAAAAACAGGUAGUGAGUAGGGAUGGGUAUCGUUUAGGUUUUAUCCGAUACCGGUGCCAAACCGGUACUUUUGAAAUGGUGCCGGUGCAAGUUUCCUGCAGUUUCUGAGGAAUAUUACAGUCAAUCUGGAUCAAAAUUGGCCCACAGGUACAGUAGCUGUCCCACAGGAGAAAUCUAUCAAACGUUGGACAUCAACUACUCAGGAUGAUUUUUAAUGAAUUUUUGAAAUUGACAUAAUUCUAUUGUAUUGACUGUAAUGCAUAUAAUAGACGUUUCCUGCAGUUUCUGAGGAAUAUUACAGUCAAUCUGGAUCGAACUUGGAACAGAUGUACAGUAGGUGUCCCAGAGGAGAAAUCUGUGGAAAGUUGGACAUCAACUAUCAAGAAUGAUUUUUAAUGAAUUUUUUGACAUCAACCAGACUGUCCCGCUUUAGGCUGUCCCAAAGCAAUUUGUGCACGUGCGUGCAUGUCUGAGUCCGCUCGCAUGCAUGUGUGAGUGCGUGCACAAGUGUACUUGUGCUCGGAUUUAUGCUUUCGAUUGGGAAGUAAGGACAAAAGACGCUUCCGUAAAGACUGGUGUAAAAGCGCUAGAAAAUUAAUGUAGCGGAUAAGAAGCGGCUGACUUGAUCGCGGCUCACAAAUGACGGCUCACUUGAACGCGGUUCUAAAAGAACGUACGUACCUGGGCCCGCCUACUAUCCUUGGAAACGUAAAAUGAUUGGCUAGAAUCUGAAGUGUAUCACACUCAGGAAAAAAAAAGCACCGAAAUAAAGCACCGAAAUAAAGCACCGAAAUGUGCGCUGCUUUUCGGUCUGGUUACUACUGUUUAUGUCAGAACAGGAUACCGGUACCCAUCCCUACUAGUGAUGAGGAGGCCUGUCUAAUCUCUAAAGGAAGAUUGUUUCACAGUUUUGGAGCUGCUACAGCAAAAGAACGAUCUUCUCUAAGUUUACGCACAGUCCUGGGUACAUUCAGGAGCAGUGAUCAGCUGACCUGAGAGAGCGGGUGGGUGCAUAAGGCUGUAGCAGCUCAGAGGAGUGAUGGUAAAUUCGAUUCUUUUUACUGAAUCGAGUUUUAAUGAGUCACUCACCAAAGUGAAUCGGGUUUCUUGAGUCAUUUGAGUCACUGAGUCAGUUCACCAGAGAGUGCAAAAAUGUAUAUUUUCACUCAAACUUAAUUUGUUUCUCUUUUAAUGUAAAUCCUACUGCUAAGAUGAAUUAUUGUAAAAGAAAACAACUAUUUUCUUUAGAGCAAAAAAGAGCAAAAAAUUUUUAAAGGGAUCAUUUAUUUAUUUUUAUUUUGGUAUUUUCCUUAAAUGUGUCAUAUAUUUUGUGUAUAUAUUUUCUCAUCUAAAUGUCCACUGAGCUGUGAGCCAGGGGGCGGUAAAGUGCUUUAACAUUGGUUGCCAACCAAGAAGAAGAAGCUGUGAGCCAGGAGGGAGGGAGGGGGUGAGUGAGUGAGUGAGUGAGUCAGUGAUUCGUUCAACUCGUUUGAGCUGUGAGCCAGGAGGGAGGGGUUCGUGAGUCCUGAGUGAUUCGCUUAUGCUAUGAUUCAGCACAGCAAGAGAGGGGUGAGUACCUCAAAUGUGCUGUUAGCAUGCUAGCUGAGCGAUGCUACUGUGAACCGAGGAGCUAUUGUCUUGAUGUGAGCUUCUACUGAGGGUUUUUUCUUCCACUUCAGAGCAGGAAUGUUUUUGUUAAUAAACUGGCUGUUGUUUUUUUCCCCACAAUUUUAAUUAUAAGCUAGAUAUAUUUCUACUAAUGGAAUUAGUUUGCUAACAGCAACAGAGAUGAGUCAGUGAGUCAGUUGCGCUUGUGAGUCAUGAUUCACGAGUCAGUAAAGUGAUUCUCGAGCACUGAACGAUUUGUUCAUGAAUCGAACAUCACUAGCUCAGAGAGAUAAGAUGCGGCUAGGCCAUGGAGAGCUUUAAAAGCAAAUAAAAGAAUCCUAAAAGAAAUGGGCAGCCAGUGAAGUGGAGCUAAAAUAAGGUAAAAAUGCUCAAACUUUCGAGUUCCAGUUAAAAGAGGAGCUGCAGCAUUUUGCAUUUUGCCAACCCAGCGUUUUCCUUCAUCACCACGAAGGAAAAUAGUCUGUGGUCGUCCAAGAUUGGGGAUUUUUGUGUCACAGGUCUAUGUGCUUAAUACAGGGACUUCCACAGCCUUUUCAGCAGCACUGCGGACCGCGGGGUGGGGGGUUGGGGGGCAGUGCUUUGGAAAUGACAGUCUUCAUUACAAAGCUUUCUACGUUAUGAAUUAGCAUACAUGUUUUUAUUGAACAUUUGAAGAACUAGCAAAAAAAAAAACAACAACAAAAAAACCAGAAACUCUUGUAGAGGAAAUAAAGUCCGAGAUAGAAACGACAAGGAGCAGGUGCAUCUAGUACAGGUAGAGCUGCUGCAAAAACCCACAGAGCCCAGCAGCCAGCGCAACAAAUUCUGGAUCCUUUGCUUUUAGUUAGCAUUAGCGGCACAUCCUGCGUCCAUUGACUGUAGAACACAUGGACGACGCGACAGCACCCCAAAAAUGAAGCCAAAACCUCUCUAUCGCCCCCUGAUGUCUGGCUGCAGUAUAGGUCAUAAACCCCGCCUCCUCCAUGUUAGCGGAUGGGACUGGGGUCAGACUAAAAUAAAUUUUUUCUCUGUUAGAUUUGUAUUGUGAUUGUCAUUUAUGCUUAGAAAUAUCUACUUAUAUAUUCUUAGAGUUUUAUAAUUAGGUGUAGAUUGGUAGAGGUUUGAUCCUUAAUAGUCUGCAAGCUUUGUGUGCAUUCCAGAGCUCUCUGACUUUCACACCCACAUUUUAGGAGCAUGGGAGAGGUCGUACCUUGUCUUAUUGUUUUAUGGUAGGAUAAACGUAUCUAUAUCUGUUUUAGGCUAAGUGCCUUUUGUUUAGAUGGACGGCUCUGGGGAGUCUUCCUGGGGUCACGGUUUGACCCCCCCACACAGAUACACACACACACACACACACACACACACAAGGUAUUCUUUGUUCACAUGCAUACCUAUAUAAGAUGUCAUAUGUUAAUGAACCUAUGCAUAUUCAUGUAACCGCAAUAAAAGGAGUGCUAUGGGGAACCUGGCUGAGAGUCUGACGGAGGUCAAGUGGGUGGAACGACACUUGGCUCCGGGCAGGCCUCCCUCAUGCAUGAGUACUACAAAGAACUUUGCCUACUUGUGUCUUGUUUUUGCUGUGUAGCAAAUUGUCCUGAACGUUCCAGCGAAUAGGUUUAUGCUACAAACCUAUCAUUCUCCUCAGAUAAUUUUUUUCCAAAGAUUCUUUCUUUUGUUAUUAAUAGUUCUCAUCACACUGAUUGAUGUCCAAGGGGUCUCCUUUCCCAUAAGUUUGAUUCUAAUUCCUACCGCGGUGAUGUUAAAUUGGGGUGAAACGUCAUCAUAACAGCUUUGACUGGCAGCUGCAGUCACGGAGAAACUUGUGUAUCUCUGUUCGGGAAUAGCAGAUAGAGCGUAGGCUCUGAGAGGAGGGCGUUUACUUUACAAAAACACGACGGAGUGUUUUAACCUGACAGCCUGAGGUGUUCUUCAGAAAACUGGACUACCCGACAGAAGGACCCGAGGCCCUGCUGCACUUUUUCGGUAAGUUAAACGUGUUUGUAAGCUAAUCCGCAACUACCGUCCUUAGCUCGCUCCUGAGACCUAGCUACCUGAAAUGAGCACUCGGCUGUC